RNAcentral lists this unclassified non-coding RNA (428 nucleotides) under soil metagenome. RNAcentral's name for it is "partial contains 5.8S ribosomal RNA, internal transcribed spacer 2, and large subunit ribosomal RNA". The stretch from base 1 to 120 matches the Rfam family "5.8S ribosomal RNA", at positions 35 to 154 of the family's 154-position model. The record is from RNAcentral.
GAUGAAGAACGCAGCGAAAUGCGAUAAGUAAUGUGAAUUGCAGAAUUCAGUGAAUCAUCGAAUCUUUGAACGCACAUUGCGCUCUUUGGUAUUCCGGAGAGCAUGCCUGUUUGAGAAUCAGUAAAUUCAUCAACCCAAGGUUCUUGGAAUUUAUUCUGAGAACUGGAAGGUUGGAUCUGGGCCAUUUGCUGCUUCGGCAGCAAUAGCCUGAAAUUGAAUGUUACGCUCCUAUGAACUGUGAAGUCUUGGGCAUACGCAUGAAUGAGGUAACUCAGAAGUACGUGAGCCUUUAAGAACGAUCAAUUCUAAGGUUGGGUGACUCAACUGAUUAACCAGAGUUUGUUGGCGUCAGCCGGCUUAUUCUGAACACUUGGUCUCAAAUCAGGUAGGAAAACCCGCUGAACUUAAGCAUAUCAAUAAGCGGAGGA